GGUUAACGCUGGCGGUGUGUCUAAUACAUGCAAGUCGAACGCAACUUCGGUUGAGUGGCGGACGAGCGAGUAACACGUUAGAACCUGCCCCAAACUCAGGGAUAACAUCUAGAAAUAGGUGCUAAUACCGGAUAGUCCCGUAAGGGUAAAGAUUUAUCGGUUUGGGAGGGGCUUGCGUACUAUCAGCUUGUUGGUAAGGUAAUGGCUUACCAAGGCUAUGACGGUUAACUGGUCUGAGAGGAUGAUCAGUCGCGAUGGGACUGAGACACGGCCCAU
This 276-nucleotide ribosomal RNA is filed under the name uncultured bacterium. RNAcentral describes it as "partial 16S ribosomal RNA". It matches the Rfam family "Bacterial small subunit ribosomal RNA", at positions 28 to 334 of the family's 1533-position model. The record is from RNAcentral.